Molecule: ribosomal RNA, 468 nt
Filed under: uncultured bacterium
Lineage: Bacteria
Description: partial 16S ribosomal RNA
Rfam family: Bacterial small subunit ribosomal RNA
Source: RNAcentral
GACGAACGCUGGCGGCGCGCCUAACACAUGCAAGUCGAACGGAGCUGAGAGAAGCUUGCUUUUCUUAGCUUAGUGGCGAACGGGUGAGUAACGCGUGAGUAACCUGCCCUGGAGUGGGGGACAACAGUUGGAAACGACUGCUAAUACCGCAUAAGCCCACGAUCCGGCAUCGGAUUGAGGGAAAAGGAUUUAUUCGCUUCAGGAUGGACUCGCGUCCAAUUAGCUAGUUGGUGAGGUAACGGCCCACCAAGGCGACGAUUGGUAGCCGGACUGAGAGGUUGAACGGCCACAUUGGGACUGAGGCACGGCCCAGACUCCUACGGGAGGCAGCAGUGGGGGAUAUUGCACAAUGGGGGAAACCCUGAUGCAGCGACGCCGCGUGGAGGAAGAAGGUUUUCGGAUUGUAAACUCCUGUCGUUAGGGACGAUAAUGACGGUACCUAACAAGAAAGCACCGGCUAACUACGUG